CCUACGGGGGGCUGCAGUGAGGAAUAUUGGUCAAUGGACGAGAGUCUGAACCAGCCAAGUAGCGUGAAGGAUGACUGCCCUAUGGGUUGUAAACUUCUUUUAUAAAGGAAUAAAACGAGGCACGUGUGCCUUUUUGCAUGUACUUUAUGAAUAAGGAUCGGCUAACUCCGUGCCAGCAGCCGCGGUAAUACGGAGGAUCCGAGCGUUAUCCGGAUUUAUUGGGUUUAAAGGGAGCGUAGAUGGGUUGUUAAGUCAGUUGUGAAAGUUUGCGGCUCAACCGUAAAAUUGCAAUUGAUACUGGCAGUCUUGAGUACAGUUGAGGUAGGCGGAAUUCGAGGUGUAGCGGUGAAAGGCUUAGAUAUCACGAAGAACCCCGAUUGCGAAGGCAGCUUACUAAACUGUGACUGACAUUGAUGCUCGAAAGUGUGGGUAUCAAACAGGAUUAGAUACCCUUGUAGUC
This 460-nucleotide ribosomal RNA is filed under the name uncultured bacterium. RNAcentral describes it as "partial 16S ribosomal RNA". It matches the Rfam family "Bacterial small subunit ribosomal RNA", at positions 338 to 795 of the family's 1533-position model. The record is from RNAcentral.